Molecule: non-coding RNA, 4876 nt
Organism: Callithrix jacchus (white-tufted-ear marmoset)
Lineage: Eukaryota; Metazoa; Chordata; Mammalia; Primates; Cebidae
Source: RefSeq, a predicted model, not a curated record
GAUGUUACAAAGUACUUUACCAGUUUCCAUGGAUCUCAAUAGUGCCAGCACUGUUGUUCUUCAGGUCUUAACACAGGCCACCAGUCAGGAUACUGCUGUGUUAAAACCAGCUGAGGAGCAGUUGAAGCAGUGGGAGACACAGCCAGGUUUCUAUUCAGUGUUGCUGAAUAUUUUCACAAACCAUACUUUGGAUAUAAAUGUAAGGUGGCUUGCUGUACUGUAUUUUAAACAUGGAAUUGAUCGCUACUGGAGACGUGUAGCACCUCAUGCUCUCUCAGAGGAGGAGAAAACUACUCUGCGUGCAGGGCUCAUCACCAACUUCAAUGAACCGAUAAACCAAAUUGCAACUCAGAUUGCAGUGCUGAUUGCAAAAGUUGCUAGAUUGGAUUGUCCUAGACAGUGGCCUGAACUAAUUCCCACCCUUAUAGAGUCUGUUAAAGUCCAGGAUGAUCUUCGACAGCACAGAGCAUUACUUACCUUCUAUCAUGUUACCAAGACACUGGCAUCCAAACGACUUGCUGCUGAUAGAAAACUAUUUUAUGAUUUAGCUUCUGGAAUUUAUAAUUUUGCCUGCUCUCUGUGGAAUCACCAUACAGACACAUUCCUGCAACAAGUUUCUUCUGGCAAUGAAGCUGCAAUUCUAAGUUCACUAGAACGAACUCUGCUAUCAUUGAAAGUGCUGCGUAAGUUAACUGUUAAUGGAUUUGUGGAACCUCAUAAAAAUAUGGAGGUGAUGGGUUUUUUACAUGGAAUAUUUGUACGUCUAAAACAGUUUCUGGAAUGCAGUAGAAAUAUAGGUACAGAUAAUGUGUGUAGAGAUAGACUGGAAAAGACCAUCAUUCUUUUUACUAAAGUGCUUUUGGACUUCUUAGAUCAGCAUCCCUUUUCAUUUACUCCUCUAAUUCAGAGAUCACUGGAAUUUUCUGUAAGCUAUGUUUUUACAGAAGUUGGUGAAGGUGUUACAUUUGAACGAUUCAUUGUCCAGUGUAUGAAUCUUAUUAAGAUGAUUGUCAAAAAUUAUGCUUAUAAGCCAUCCAAAAAUUUUGAAGAUAGCAGCCCUGAAACUCUUGAAGCCCAUAAGAUUAAGAUGGCAUUCUUCACAUAUCCUACUUUGACAGAGAUAUGUAGAAGAUUAGUCUCUCAUUAUUUUCUGUUAACUGAAGAAGAACUGACAAUGUGGGAAGAAGACCCAGAAGGCUUUACAGUGGAAGAAACAGGAGGAGAUUCUUGGAAAUACAGUUUGAGGCCGUGCACUGAAGUAUUAUUUAUAGAUAUAUUCCAUGAAUAUAAUCAGACUCUCACUCCUGUACUUCUAGAAAUGAUGCAAACCCUUCAAGGACCCACAAAUGUGGAAGAUAUGAAUGCACUGUUAAUAAAAGAUGCUGUGUAUAAUGCUGUUGGAUUAGCUGCUUAUGAGCUGUUUGACAGUGUUGAUUUUGAUCAGUGGUUUAAAAACCAGCUUCUUCCAGAAUUACAAGUCAUUCACAAUAGGUAUAAGCCAUUGCGACGCAGGGUGAUUUGGCUCAUUGGUCAGUGGAUUUCUGUGAAAUUCAAGUCUGACUUAAGACCCAUGCUUUAUGAAGCAAUCUGUAACUUGCUUCAAGAUCAAGAUUUAGUGGUCCGUAUUGAAACAGCUACAACUUUGAAGUUAACUGUUGAUGAUUUUGAAUUUAGAACAGAUCAGUUUCUACCGUAUUUGGAAACCAUGUUCACACUACUUUUUCAGCUACUGCAGCAAGUUACAGAAUGUGACACAAAGAUGCACGUUUUGCAUGUCCUUUCUUGUGUCAUUGAAAGAGUCAAUGUGCAGAUACGACCAUAUGUGGGAUGCUUGGUACAAUAUUUGCCCCUCCUUUGGAAGCAGAGUGAAGAACACAAUAUGUUGAGAUGUGCUAUUUUGACAACACUUAUUCAUCUUGUGCAGGGAUUAGGAGCAGACAGCAAGAACCUGUACCCUUUCCUGCUCCCAGUUAUUCAACUGAGUACAGAUGUUUCUCAGCCUCCACAUGUUUAUCUUCUGGAAGAUGGUUUAGAAUUAUGGUUAGUAACAUUGGAAAACAGCCCAUGUGUUACACCGGAGUUGCUUCGUAUAUUUCAGAAUAUGUCACCACUUCUUGAACUAAGUUCAGAAAAUCUCAGAACUUGCUUUAAGAUCAUCAAUGGUUAUAUCUUUUUAUCAUCAACAGAAUUUUUACAGACAUAUGCAGUAGGUCUAUGCCAGUCCUUUUGUGAACUUUUAAAGGAGAUUACCACAGAAGGUCAAGUUCAAGUGCUCAAGGUUGUGGAAAAUGCCCUUAAAGUGAACCCAAUAUUAGGUCCGCAAAUGUUUCAACCGAUUUUUCCCUACGUUUUCAAGGGUAUUAUAGAAGGGGAGAGGUAUCCUGUAGUGAUGUCCACGUAUCUUGGAGUUAUGGGUCGAGUUCUACUACAAAACACUAGUUUUUUUUCUUCACUACUUAAUGAGAUGGCUCAUAAAUUUAAUCAAGAGAUGGACCAGCUUUUGGGAAAUAUGAUUGAAAUGUGGGUUGAUCGAAUGGACAACAUUACCCAGCCCGAAAGAAGAAAACUUUCAGCUUUGGCUUUGCUUUCUCUUCUGCCAUCUGAUAAUAGCUUCCUGUAUCCAUGGCAACCUCUGUUUUACACAUUGACUCUAAAGGAACCAAUGUGAAGAGUGGUGUUUCCUGAGCAAACAGUGACUUUAAAAAAAAGGUGGUGGAGUGGAGGUCAGCAGUGCCACAGAACAAAAUGAAGUUUAGAAAUGUCGUUCUUCAGAUUUAGAAAGAAAAUCUUUACUGAAUCAGCUGAGCUUUAAUAAUAUGAAUUUCCUGUUUUUGCCAAUUCUGAUCUGAACAGAAAAACCAAGAACAGGGAUAUGUGUGGAUUACAGUUUUCUCUGCUUUGCCUACGACUGUUUCUGCUUGUUACCUGUUAUAUUUUAUUAUUACUUCACAAAGAAAUACUUGGAUGUUCGUCUGUUUGUCAGCUCUGCACUGGGAGACAAAUUAACUGCCGUAACUUAGGCCUUUCGAGUAUUCCUCAGAAUUUUCCUGAACGUACAGCUUUUCUGUAUCUGACUGGAAAUAAUAUAUCUUAUAUAAAUGAAAGUGAAUUAACAGGACUUCAUUCUCUUGUAGCAUUGUAUUUGGAUAAUUCUAACAUUCUCUAUGUAUAUCCAAAAGCCUUUGUUCAAUUGAGGCAUCUAUAUUUUCUAUUUCUAAAUAAUAAUUUUAUCAAACGCUUAGAUCCUGGAAUAUUUAAGGGACUGUUAAAUCUUCGUAAUUUAUAUUUACAGUCUAAUCUGGUAUCUUUUGUUCCAAGAGGAAUAUUUAAUGAUCUAGUUUCAGUUCAGUACUUAAAUCUACAAAGGAAUCGCCUCACUGUUCUUGGGAGUGGUACCUUUGUUGGUAUGGUUGCUCUUCGGGUACUUGACUUAUCAAACAAUAACAUUUUGAGGAUAUCAGACUCAGGCUUUCAACAUCUUGGAAACCUUGCUUGUUUGUAUCUAGAAAGUAAUACUUUAACAAAAGUACCAUCAAAUGCCUUUGAUGUACUUAAAAGUCUUAGAAGACUUUCUUUGUCUCAUAAUCCCAUUGAAGUAAUACAGCCCUUUGCAUUUAAAGGACUUGUCAACUUGGAAUAUCUCCUCCUGAAAAAUUCAAGAAUUAGAAAUGUUACUAGGGAUGGAUUUAGUGGAAUUAAUAAUCUUAAACAUUUGAUCUUAAGUCAUAAUGAUUUAGAGAAUUUAAAUUCUGACACAUUUAGUUUGUUAAAGAAUUUAAUUUACCUUAAGUUAGAUAGAAACAGAAUAAUUAGCAUUGAUAAUGAUACAUUUGAAAACAUGGGAGCAUCUUUGAAGAUCCUUAAUCUGUCAUUUAAUAAUCUUACAGACUUGCAUCCAAGGGUCCUUAAGCCAUUGUCUUCAUUGAUUCAUCUUCAGGCAAAUUCUAAUCCUUGGGAAUGUAACUGCAAACUUGCGGGCCUUCGAGACUGGCUAACAUCUUCAGCCAUUACCCUAAACAUCUAUUGUCAGAAUCCCCCAUCCAUGCGUGGCAGAGCAUUACGUUAUAUUAACAUUACAAAUUGUGUUACGUCUUCAACAAAUGUAUCCACAGCUUGGGCUGUUGUAAAAUCUCCUCACAUUCGUCACAAGACUACUGCACUAAUGAUGGCCUGGCCUAAAGUAACCACCAGUGGCAAUCCUCUGGAAAAUACUGAAACUGAGAGCAUUACUUUCUGGGAACAAAAAUCUCCUUCACCUGCUGGUAGAUUUUUUCAAGAGACUGCGUUUGGUAAUCGAUUAGAGACUACAGCAGUGUUGCCUGUGCAGAUACAGCUUACUACUUCUGUUACCUUGAACUUGGAAAAAAACAGUGCUCUACCGAUUGAUGCUGCUUCAGUGUCAGGGAAAACAUCUCUGAUUUGUACACAAGAAAUUGAGAAGUUGAAUGAGGCUUUUGACAUUUUGCUAGCUUUUUUCAUCUUAGCUUGUGUUUUAAUCAUUUUUUUGAUCUACAAAGUUGUUCAAUUUAAACAAAAACUAAAGGCACUAGAAAACUCAAGGGAAAAUAGACUUGAAUACUACAGCUUUUAUCAGUCAGCAAGGUAUAAUGUAACUGCCUCAAUUUGUAACAGUAAUCCAAAUUUUCUAGAAAGUCCUGGCUUGGAGCAGAUUCAACUUCAUAAACAAAUUGUUCCUGAAAAUGAGGCACAGGUCAUUCUUUUUGAACAUUCUGCUUUGUAACUCAACUAAAUACUGUCUAUAAGAAACUUUGGUGCCAUGGACAUGAUUAAAACUGAAACUUCUUUAAUAGAAGUAUAUGCUUGGAAAUACAAUGAAUUAUAUGAGGUUAGCAUUAUUAAAAUAUGUUUUUAAUAA